Molecule: unclassified non-coding RNA, 253 nt
Filed under: plant metagenome
Description: partial contains small subunit ribosomal RNA, internal transcribed spacer 1, and 5.8S ribosomal RNA
Rfam family: 5.8S ribosomal RNA (bases 205-253)
Source: RNAcentral
UUUCCGUAGGUGAACCUGCGGAAGGAUCAUUAUUGGAUUUUGAAACUUCAGGCUGCUGCUGGCUCUCCUCGGAGGGCAUGUGCACGCUUGUUGUCCAUUAUUUCUCCCACUGUGCACAAAUUGUAGACCUUUCAGUAGGCCUAUGUUGGUUUUCACAAUCUCUGAAUGUAAUAGAAUGGUUUUGAAUCUUGGGAAAUACAAUACAACUUUCAGCAACGGAUCUCUUGGCUCUCGCAUUGAUGAAGAACGCAGC